Molecule: non-coding RNA, 71 nt
Organism: Larimichthys crocea (large yellow croaker)
Lineage: Eukaryota; Metazoa; Chordata; Actinopteri; Sciaenidae
Source: Rfam
CAGAAGCUGGUUUCACAUGGUGGUUUAGAUGUGUGUUCCCGUUGUCUAGCACCAUUUGAAAUCAGUGUUCU